UCAGGCCUAACACAUGCAAGUCGAGGGGUAACGACAGAGCUUGCUCUGGGCGACGACCGGCGCACGGGUGCGUAACACGUAUGCAACCUACCUAUCACUGGAGGAUAGCCAGGUGAAAACCUGAGUAAUACUCCAUAACACUUAACAAGGCAUCUUGAAGAGUUGAAAGUUCCGGCGGUGAUAGAUGGGCAUGCGGAUGAUUAGUUUGUUGGUGAGGUAACGGCUCACCAAGACUACGAUCAAUAGGGGGCCUGAGAGGGUUAUCCCCCACACUGGUACUGAGACACGGACCAGACUCCUACGGGAGGCAGCAGUGAGGAAUAUUGGACAAUGGGCGAAAGCCUGAUCCAGCCAUGCCGCGUGCAGGAAGAAUGCCCUACGGGUUGUAAACUGCUUUUGUUAGGGAAGAAACCCCCGGACGUGUCCGGGGCUGACGGUACCUUUCGAAUAAGCACCGGCUAACUCCGUGCCAGCAGCCGCGGUAAUACGGAGGGUGCAAGCGUUAUCCGGAUUCAUUGGGUUUAAAGGGUCCGCAGGCGGACCGAUAAGUCAGAGGUGAAAGCCCACAGCUCAACUGUGGAACUGCCUUUGAUACUGUCGGUCUUGAAUGCGCUCGACGUAGGCGGAAUGUGCCGUGUGGCGGUGAAAUGCUUAGAUAUGGCACAGAACACCGAUCGCGAAGGCAGCUUACGAGAGCGUG
This 700-nucleotide ribosomal RNA is filed under the name uncultured bacterium. RNAcentral describes it as "bacterial SSU rRNA". It matches the Rfam family "Bacterial small subunit ribosomal RNA", at positions 42 to 738 of the family's 1533-position model. The record is from RNAcentral.